UACGGUGGGUGCGAGCGUUGUUCGGAAUUAUUGGGCGUAAAGCGCGUGUAGGCGGUCUUUUAAGUCUGAUGUGAAAGCCUCGGGCUCAACCUGGGAAGUGCAUUGGAUACUGGGAGACUUGAAUACGGGAGAGGGCAGUGGAAUUCCUAGUGUAGGAGUGAAAUCCGUAGAUAUUAGGAGGAACACCGGUGGCGAAGGCGGCUGCCUGGACCGAUAUUGACGCUGAGGUGCGAAAGCGUGGGGAGCGAACAGG
RNAcentral lists this ribosomal RNA (253 nucleotides) under uncultured bacterium. RNAcentral describes it as "partial 16S ribosomal RNA". It matches the Rfam family "Bacterial small subunit ribosomal RNA", at positions 524 to 776 of the family's 1533-position model. The record is from RNAcentral.